UGGGGAAUUUUGGACAAUGGGGGAAACCCUGAUCCAGCCAUCCCGCGUGUGCGAUGAAGGCCUUCGGGUUGUAAAGCACUUUUGGCAGGAAAGAAACGUCGCGGGUUAAUACCCCGCGGAACUGACGGUACCUGCAGAAUAAGCACCGGCUAACUACGUGCCAGCAGCCGCGGUAAUACGUAGGGUGCAAGCGUUAAUCGGAAUUACUGGGCGUAAAGCGUGCGCAGGCGGUUCGGAAAGAAAGAUGUGAAAUCCCAGAGCUUAACUUUGGAACUGCAUUUUUAACUACCGGGCUAGAGUGUGUCAGAGGGAGGUGGAAUUCCGCGUGUAGCAGUGAAAUGCGUAGAUAUGCGGAGGAACACCGAUGGCGAAGGCAGCCUCCUGGGAUAACACUGACGCUCAUGCACGAAAGCGUGGGGAGCAAACAGGAUUAGAUACCCUGGUAGUCCACGCCCUAAACGAUGUCAACUAGCUGUUGGGGUCUUCGGACCUUGGUAGCGCAGCUAACGCGUGAAGUUGACCGCCUGGGGAGUACGGUCGCAAGAUUAAAACUCAAAUGAAUUGACGGGGUCAUAGCUGUUU
RNAcentral lists this ribosomal RNA (582 nucleotides) under uncultured bacterium. Its description in RNAcentral is "partial 16S ribosomal RNA". It matches the Rfam family "Bacterial small subunit ribosomal RNA", at positions 355 to 935 of the family's 1533-position model. The record is from RNAcentral.